UAACCUAUCUAGCGAUGGAUAGCUGAACAGUCAGAAGUCAGCAGAGGUCAUAGUGCGUGCGUGGCAGCAC
RNAcentral lists this non-coding RNA (70 nucleotides) under Schinkia azotoformans MEV2011. Lineage: Bacteria; Bacillati; Bacillota; Bacilli; Caryophanales; Bacillaceae. The record is from RNAcentral.